CUUGGAUUGAAAGUCAGAAUUUUUAGAUGGUUUAAUCCAUGAAUGUGUAAAUAUUUGUUUUAGAAUAUGCUCACAUUUUUGUUUUGUUUUGUUUUACUGUCUUUUACCUAACUUCUCUUUAACAUCUUAAUUACUUUUUUUUUAUUAUUGAGGCAACAAAUUCCUACCUCCUUAGUUCCUGCCCCACAACAACCCAGGGCCCAGAACAUAAACAAAGACGCAUUUGGAGGCUCCUGCAGAGAGACCUAUAUCCAAGAUCAGCAGUUCCUGCAAUUUGCUAUUUCCUCCUCCCUCUUCUCCCCAGAAGCCGUCUUAUAUGUCCACGAUGCAUGGGACCUCAUUAAGAAAUACUGUGUACCUGUACCAGCUCCCCG
RNAcentral lists this long non-coding RNA (374 nucleotides) under Fukomys damarensis (Damara mole-rat). RNAcentral's name for it is "lncRNA (ENSFDAG00000024556.1)". The record is from RNAcentral. Lineage: Eukaryota; Metazoa; Chordata; Mammalia; Rodentia; Bathyergidae.